Molecule: ribosomal RNA, 497 nt
Filed under: uncultured bacterium
Lineage: Bacteria
Description: partial 16S ribosomal RNA
Rfam family: Bacterial small subunit ribosomal RNA
Source: RNAcentral
GAUGAACGCUGGCGGCGUGCCUAAUACAUGCAAGUCGAGCGAACAGACGAGGAGCUUGCUCCUCUGACGUUAGCGGCGGACGGGUGAGUAACACGUGGAUAACAUACCUAUAAGACUGGGAUAACUUCGGGAAACCGGAGCUAAUACCGGAUAACAUGAUGAACCGCAUGGAUCAACAGAGAAAGACGGUCUUGCUGUCACAUAUAGAUGGAUCCGCGCCGCAUUAGCUAGUUGGUAAGGUAACGGCUUACCAAGGCAACGAUGCGUAGCCGACCUGAGAGGGUGAUCGGCCACACUGGAACUGAGACACGGUCCAGACUCCUACGGGAGGCAGCAGUAGGGAAUCUUCCGCAAAGGGCGAAAGCCUGACGGAGCAACGCCGCGUGAGUGAAGAAGGUCUUCGGAUCGUAAAGCUCUGUUAUUAGGGAAGAACAGAUGUGUAAGUAACUAUGCCCGUCUUGACGGUACCUAAACAGAAAGCCACGGCUAACUACGUG